GAUGAACGCUGGCGGCGUGCCUAAUACAUGCAAGUCGAGCGAACGGACGAGAAGCUUGCUUCUCUGAUGUUAGCGGCGGACGGGUGAGUAACACGUGGAUAACCUACCUAUAAGACUGGGAUAACUUCGGGAAACCGGAGCUAAUACCGGAUAAUAUUUUGAACCGCAUGGUUCAAAAGUGAAAGACGGUCUUGCUGUCACUUAUAGAUGGAUCCGCGCUGCAUUAGCUAGUUGGUAAGGUAACGGCUUACCAAGGCAACGAUGCAUAGCAGACCUAAGAGCGUGAUCGGCCACACUGGAACUGAGACACGGUCCAGACUCCUACGGGAGGCAGCAGUAGGGAAUCUUACGAAAUGGGCGAAAGCCUGACGGAGCAACGCCGCGUGAGUGAUGAAGGUCUUCGGAUCGUAAAACUCUGUUAUUAGGGAAGAACAUAUGUGUAAGUAACUGUGCACAUCUUGACGGUACCUAAUCAGAAAGCCACGGCUAACUACGUG
RNAcentral lists this ribosomal RNA (497 nucleotides) under uncultured bacterium. RNAcentral describes it as "partial 16S ribosomal RNA". It matches the Rfam family "Bacterial small subunit ribosomal RNA", at positions 28 to 507 of the family's 1533-position model. The record is from RNAcentral.